This 464-nucleotide ribosomal RNA is filed under the name uncultured bacterium. RNAcentral's name for it is "bacterial SSU rRNA". It matches the Rfam family "Bacterial small subunit ribosomal RNA", at positions 66 to 524 of the family's 1533-position model. The record is from RNAcentral.
ACGGCAGCACGGGAGCAAUCCUGGUGGCGAGUGGCGAAGGGUGAGUAAUAUAUCGGAACGUGCCCAGUCGUGGGGGAUAACGCAGCGAAAGCUGUGCUAAUACCGCAUACGAUCUCUGGAUGAAAGCGGGGGGCUCGCAAGAGCCUCGCGCGAUUGGAGCGGCCGAUAUCAGAUUAGCUAGUUGGUGGGGUAAAAGCCCACCAAGGCGACGAUCUGUAGCUGGUCUGAGAGGACGACCAGCCACACUGGAACUGAGACACGGUCCAGACUCCUACGGGAGGCAGCAGUGGGGAAUUUUGGACAAUGGGCGAAAGCCUGAUCCAGCAAUGCCGCGUGCAGGAUGAAGGCCUUAGGGUUGUAAACUGCUUUUGUACGGAACGAAACGGCUCCUUCUAAUACAAGGGGCUAAUGACGGUACCGUAAGAAUAAGCACCGGCUAACUACGUGCCAGCAGCCGCGGUAAU